Non-coding RNA from Procambarus clarkii (red swamp crayfish), 431 nucleotides. Lineage: Eukaryota; Metazoa; Arthropoda; Malacostraca; Decapoda; Cambaridae. The record is from RefSeq and is a predicted model, not a curated record.
UCAUGGUGGGAGACAGAUAAGAUAAACACCAACACGACUGAUAAGACACAUACCUACACACGUCCUCACCAUAAGGAACGUGUAAGCUACUGACGUUUACUGAUAUCAUUUAAAACUUUGUAUAUUUUUAACUUUAAAUAUUUCCCAUAUAAUAUAAUACAUAAUAACGUCAUAACUCCACAACACGUGAUGUUGCACUUGUGGGUAAUAUGCAGCCAGCAUUAUCAGCCAUUAUCGCUAUCACUGUUAUCAGUCUCUGGCGAAUGUGUUCAUAUCUGUGUGUGUGGUGAACUUCCACACUUCCCAGUUGUUAUUGAUGGUUCCUCAGUGUGUUGUGGAACCUGAAGCUGGCCACUGUGUAGUGAACUACCAGAUGACAGAAUUCUGAAGAGUAUAAAGACAGAAGAAAUUAACUAGUUAAAGAACAAAUU